RNAcentral lists this ribosomal RNA (442 nucleotides) under uncultured bacterium. RNAcentral describes it as "partial 16S ribosomal RNA". It matches the Rfam family "Bacterial small subunit ribosomal RNA", at positions 338 to 795 of the family's 1533-position model. The record is from RNAcentral.
CCUACGGGAGGCUGCAGUGGGGAAUAUUGGGCAAUGGGCGCAAGCCUGACCCAGCAACGCCGCGUGAAGGAAGAAGGCUUUCGGGUUGUAAACUUCUUUUAAGAGGGAAGAGCAGAAGACGGUACCUCUUGAAUAAGCCACGGCUAACUACGUGCCAGCAGCCGCGGUAAUACGUAGGUGGCAAGCGUUGUCCGGAUUUACUGGGUGUAAAGGGCGUGCAGCCGGGAAGACAAGUCAGAUGUGAAAGCCCGCGGCUCAACCGCGGAACUGCAUUUGAAACUGUGUUUCUUGAGUACCGUAGAGGUCAUCGGAAUUCGUUGUGUAGCGGUGAAAUGCGUAGAUAUAAGGAAGAACACCAGUGGCGAAGGCGGAUGACUGGACGGCAACUGACGGUGAGGCGCGAAAGCGUGGGGAGCAAACAGGAUUAGAUACCCCUGUAGUC